AGUUUGAUCCAAAAGUUUUUCGAUUCAAAAAAAAUAUUCAAUGUUGCAAUUUAACUUUGCAACAAUUUAAUCAAAAAAAUACUACCGAGUGUCCAUUGUUUCUGGAUUUAUCACUAUAACAGCUAUCAAUUUUUUUUAACUACACAAUGAUUGAACAAAGAUGUUUAAAUUUUGUUUAUCCUAUGUUUAUUUUUAUCAAAUCAGCACAGGAUUCUAAAAGUAGAUAACAAAACAAAAAAAUCUUAGCCGGGGGUCACUUCUAGGGUUAUCAUAAAUCAAAGCUAAAUCUGCAUGUUAGCAUUUUGGAAAUCUCAAAAAGAAGAACAAAAACAAAAAUUCACUUACUUCAAUGAAUUAGGCCGGAUAACAGAAUUUAAUUUAUUCUUACCAAUAAAUCCGAUUUGAAGAAGACAAAUCACCAAGAAACCUCGAGAAUACCAGCCGAAUUGUUCCAUGUUUAAUUCUGUU
Long non-coding RNA from Episyrphus balteatus (marmalade hoverfly), 468 nucleotides. RefSeq lists it as uncharacterized. The record is from RefSeq and is a predicted model, not a curated record. The transcript has 3 exons. Lineage: Eukaryota; Metazoa; Arthropoda; Insecta; Diptera; Syrphidae.